Molecule: ribosomal RNA, 301 nt
Filed under: uncultured bacterium
Lineage: Bacteria
Description: partial 16S ribosomal RNA
Rfam family: Bacterial small subunit ribosomal RNA
Source: RNAcentral
CAGUAGCCGCGGGAAUACGAAGGGUGCAAGCGUUACUCGGAAUUACUGGGCGUAAAGCGUGCGUAGGCGGUGAGUUAAGUCUGCUGUGAAAUCCCCGGGCUCAACCUGGGAAUGGCAGUGGAUACUGGCUCGCUAGAGUGUGGGAGAGGGUGGUGGAAUUCCCGGAGUAGCGGUGAAAUGCGCAGAUACCGGGAGGAACGCCGAUGGCGAAGGCAGCCACCUGGUCCACUUCUGACGCUGAGGCGCGAAAGUGUGGGGAGCAAACCGGAUUAGAGACCCCCGUAGUCCCGUCUCUUAUACC